Molecule: transfer RNA, 71 nt
Filed under: Equus asinus (donkey)
Lineage: Eukaryota; Metazoa; Chordata; Mammalia; Perissodactyla; Equidae
Also listed under: 1 other name
Rfam family: tRNA
About the family: Transfer RNA (tRNA) molecules are approximately 80 nucleotides in length. Their secondary structure includes four short double-helical elements and three loops (D, anti-codon, and T loops). Further hydrogen bonds mediate the characteristic L-shaped molecular structure. tRNAs have two regions of fundamental functional importance: the anti-codon, which is responsible for specific mRNA codon recognition, and the 3' end, to which the tRNAs corresponding amino acid is attached (by aminoacyl-tRNA synthetases). tRNAs cope with the degeneracy of the genetic code in two manners: having more than one tRNA (with a specific anti-codon) for a particular amino acid; and 'wobble' base-pairing, i.e. permitting non-standard base-pairing at the 3rd anti-codon position.
Source: Rfam by way of RNAcentral
UUCUUGGUGGUCUAGUGGUUAAGAUUUAGCACUCUCAAUGCCGUGGUCCAGGUUCAUUCUUGGUCAGGGAA